RNAcentral lists this ribosomal RNA (117 nucleotides) under Neogoniolithon spectabile. The record is from RNAcentral. Lineage: Eukaryota; Rhodophyta; Florideophyceae; Corallinales; Spongitidaceae.
UGAUAUUUAUAGCGCAGUAGAUCCACUCCGAUCCAUCCCGAACUCGGUUGUUAAAUGCUGCAGCGGCGAUAAUACUAGAGAAGAAAUUGUCUGGAAAAGUAGCUCAAUAUCAGAACU